CGGGGUGCAGCAGGCGCGAAAACUUUACAAUGCGGGAAACCGUGAUAAGGGGACACCGAGUGCCAGCAUCAUAUGCUGGCUGUCCAGGUGUGUAAAAUACACCUGUCAGCAAGGGCCGGGCAAGACCGGUGCCAGCCGCUGCGGUAACACCGGCGGCCCGAGUGGUGAUCGUGAUUAUUGGGUCUAAAGGGUCCGUAGCCGGUUUGGUCAGUCCUCCGGGAAAUCUGACGGCUCAACCGUUAGGCUUUCGGGGGAUACUGCCAGGCUUGGAACCGGGAGAGGUAAGAGGUACUACAGGGGCAGGAGUGAAAUCUUGUAAUCCCUGUGAGACCACCUGUGGCGAAGGCGUCUUACCAGAACGGGUUCGACGGUGAGGGACGAAAGCUGGGGGCACGAACCGGAUUAGAUACCCGGGUAGUCCCAGCCGUAAACGAUGCUCGCUAGGUGUCAGGCAUGGCGCGACCGUGUCUGGUGCCGCAGGGAAGCCGUGAAGCGAGCCACCUGGGAAGUACGGCCGCAAGGCUGAAACUUAAAGGAAUUGGCGGGGGAGCAC
Molecule: ribosomal RNA, 553 nt
Filed under: uncultured archaeon
Lineage: Archaea
Description: bacterial SSU rRNA
Rfam family: Archaeal small subunit ribosomal RNA
Source: RNAcentral